This 74-nucleotide transfer RNA is filed under the name compost metagenome. RNAcentral's name for it is "tRNA-Thr". It matches the Rfam family "tRNA". From Rfam's summary of the family: Transfer RNA (tRNA) molecules are approximately 80 nucleotides in length. Their secondary structure includes four short double-helical elements and three loops (D, anti-codon, and T loops). The record is from RNAcentral.
GCCGGAUUAGCUCAGGGGUAGAGCAUCCGCCUUGUAAGCGGGAGGUCAUCCGUUCGAUUCGGAUAUCCGGCACC